Molecule: ribosomal RNA, 558 nt
Filed under: bacterium amp-d-5
Lineage: Bacteria
Description: bacterial SSU rRNA
Rfam family: Bacterial small subunit ribosomal RNA
Source: RNAcentral
CUACACAUGCAGUCGACGGCAGCACAGAGAGAGCUUGCUCUUUGGGUGGCGAGUGGCGGACGGGUGAGGAAUACAUCGGAAUCUACUCUGUCGUGGGGGAUAACGUAGGGAAACUUACGCUAAUACCGCAUACGACCUACGGGUGAAAGCAGGGGAUCUUCGGACCUUGCGCGAUUGAAUGAGCCGAUGUCGGAUUAGCUAGUUGGCGGGGUAAAGGCCCACCAAGGCGACGAUCCGUAGCUGGUCUGAGAGGAUGAUCAGCCACACUGGAACUGAGACACGGUCCAGACUCCUACGGGAGGCAGCAGUGGGGAAUAUUGGACAAUGGGCGCAAGCCUGAUCCAGCCAUACCGCGUGGGUGAAGAAGGCCUUCGGGUUGUAAAGCCCUUUUGUUGGGAAAGAAAUCCAGCCGGCUAAUACCUGGUUGGGAUGACGGUACCCAAAGAAUAAGCACCGGCUAACUUCGUGCCAGCAGCCGCGGUAAUACGAAGGGUGCAAGCGUUACUCGGAAUUACUGGGCGUAAAGCGUGCGUAGGUGGUCGUUUAAGUCCGUUGUGA